GCUCAGAAACUUAAAGGAAUUGACGGGGCCCGCACAAGCGGAGGAGCAUGUGGUUUAAUUCGAUGAUACGCGAGGAACCUUACCUGGGCUCGAACGUAAGAUGACUGUAGGUGAAAGCUUACAUCUCUUCGGAGCAUUUUACGAGGUGCUGCAUGGUUGUCGUCAGCUCGUGCCGUGAGGUGUCGGGUUAAGUCCCAUAACGAGCGCAACCCCUACCUUUAGUUGCCAUCAGGUAAUGCUGGGGACUCUAAAGGAACUGCCUACGCAAGUAGUGAGGAAGCGGGGAUGACGUCAAAUCAGCACGGCCCUUACGUCCAGGGCUACACACGUGCUACAAUGGCCGAUACAGAGGGCAGCUACCUGGUGACAGGAUGCAAAUCUCCAAAGUCGGUCUCAGUUCGGAUCGGAGUCUGCAACCCGACUCCGUGAAGUUGGAUUCGCUAGUAAUCGCGCAUCAGCCAUGGCGCGGUGAAUACGUUCCCGGGCCUU
This 489-nucleotide ribosomal RNA is filed under the name uncultured Sphingobacteriales bacterium. RNAcentral describes it as "bacterial SSU rRNA". It matches the Rfam family "Bacterial small subunit ribosomal RNA", at positions 891 to 1382 of the family's 1533-position model. The record is from RNAcentral. Lineage: Bacteria; Pseudomonadati; Bacteroidota; Sphingobacteriia; Sphingobacteriales.